GCUUAGGCAAUACUUUUUCUACUUUAUACAAGAAAAUUCUAUAGAUGAAUCCAGUUCAUAUAUAACAAAUAAGUGAAACUCACAUAUUUAUAACUUUAUAUAUAAUAAAUCAGGUCUAUCUAACCUUUCUAGUACUCUAUGAUUCAGCACUUUUGUUUUCUUCCCUUAUUGUUAUGCUGAACAAAUUUAAUCGAUGAAUCCUCAUAAUUCUUCAGUCAGCCAGCUUUAUAUUUUUAGAUG
Molecule: unclassified non-coding RNA, 240 nt
Filed under: Hevea brasiliensis (rubber tree)
Lineage: Eukaryota; Viridiplantae; Streptophyta; Magnoliopsida; Malpighiales; Euphorbiaceae
Source: RNAcentral